This 440-nucleotide ribosomal RNA is filed under the name uncultured bacterium. RNAcentral's name for it is "partial 16S ribosomal RNA". It matches the Rfam family "Bacterial small subunit ribosomal RNA", at positions 338 to 795 of the family's 1533-position model. The record is from RNAcentral.
CCUACGGGAGGCAGCAGUAAGGGAUAUUGGUCAAUGGGGGAAACCCUGAACCAGCAACGCCGCGUGAGGGAAGAAGGUUUUCGGAUUGUAAACCUCUGUCCUCUGUGAAGUUGAUGACGGUAGCAGAGGAGGAUGCUCCGGCUAUCUCCGUUCCAGCAGCCGCGGUAAUACGUCGGGAGCGCGCGUUGUCCGGAUUUACUGGGGGUAAAGGGUGCGUAGGCGGCUUGGCAAGUCAGUAGUGAAAUCCUUGGGCUUAAUCCAUGAACUGCUAUUGAAACUGUCGAGCUUGAGUGAAGUAGAGGGAGGCGGAAUUCCCGGUGUAGCGGUGAAAGGCGUAGAGAGCGGGAGGAACACCAGUGGCGAAGGCGGCCUACUGGGCUGUAACUGACGCUGAGGCACGAAAGCGUGGGUAGCAAACAGGAUUAGAUACCCGUGUAGUC